GACGAACGCUGGCGGCGUGCUUAACACAUGCAAGUCGAACGGAAAGGCCCUGCUUUUGUGGGGUGCUCGAGUGGCGAACGGGUGAGUAACACGUGAGUAACCUGCCCUUGACUUUGGGAUAACUUCAGGAAACUGGGGCUAAUACCGGAUAGGAGCUCCUGCUGCAUGGUGGGGGUUGGAAAGUUUCGGCGGUUGGGGAUGGACUCGCGGCUUAUCAGCUUGUUGGUGGGGUAGUGGCUUACCAAGGCUUUGACGGGUAGCCGGCCGGGGAGGGUGACCGGCAAAAUUGGGACUGAGAUACGGCCCAGACUCCUACGGGAGGCAGCAGGGGGGAAUAUUGCAAAAGGGGGGGAAGCCGGAUGCAGCAACGCCGGGGGCGGGAUGACGGCCUUCGGGUGGUAACCCGUUUUCGCCUGUGACGAAGCGUGAGUGACGGUAAUGGGUAAAGAAGCACCGGCUAACUACGUG
RNAcentral lists this ribosomal RNA (468 nucleotides) under uncultured bacterium. Its description in RNAcentral is "partial 16S ribosomal RNA". It matches the Rfam family "Bacterial small subunit ribosomal RNA", at positions 28 to 507 of the family's 1533-position model. The record is from RNAcentral.